ACGGAGGGUGCGAGCGUUAUUCGGAAUAACUGGGCGUAAAGCGCGUGUAGGCGGUUUUGCAAAUCUGAUGUGAAAGCCCCGGGCUUAACCUGGGAAGUGCAUUGGAAACUGCCGGACUUGAGUACUGGAGAGGAAGGGGGAAUUCCCGGUGUAGAGGUGAAAUUCGUAUAGAUCGGGAGUAAAACCAGUGGCGAAGGCGCCCUUCUGGACGGUUACUGACGCUGAGACUCGAAAGCGUGGUGAGCAAAAAG
RNAcentral lists this ribosomal RNA (251 nucleotides) under uncultured prokaryote. Its description in RNAcentral is "partial 16S rRNA". It matches the Rfam family "Bacterial small subunit ribosomal RNA", at positions 525 to 775 of the family's 1533-position model. The record is from RNAcentral.